RNAcentral lists this transfer RNA (72 nucleotides) under Stegodyphus mimosarum. It matches the Rfam family "tRNA". Rfam says of the family: Transfer RNA (tRNA) molecules are approximately 80 nucleotides in length. Lineage: Eukaryota; Metazoa; Arthropoda; Arachnida; Araneae; Eresidae. The record is from Rfam by way of RNAcentral.
GCCUUCGUGGUGUAGCGGUUAGCACACUCACCUGUGCUCGAGAGGUCCGUGGUUCGAGUCCCGCCGAGGGCA